Molecule: ribosomal RNA, 164 nt
Filed under: uncultured bacterium
Lineage: Bacteria
Description: partial 16S rRNA
Rfam family: Bacterial small subunit ribosomal RNA
Source: RNAcentral
UAGGGAAUCUUCGGCAAUGGACGAAAGUCGGACCGAGCAACGCCGCGUGAGUGAAGAAGGUUUUCGGAUCGUAAAACUCUGUUGUUAGAGAAGAACGACGAGGAGAGUGGAAAGCUCCUCGCGUGACGGUAUCUAACCAGAAAGGGACGGCUAACUACGUGCCA